This 328-nucleotide unclassified non-coding RNA is filed under the name soil metagenome. Its description in RNAcentral is "partial contains 5.8S ribosomal RNA, internal transcribed spacer 2, and large subunit ribosomal RNA". The stretch from base 1 to 120 matches the Rfam family "5.8S ribosomal RNA", at positions 35 to 154 of the family's 154-position model. The record is from RNAcentral.
GAUGAAGAACGUAGCGAAAUGCGAUAAGUAAUGUGAAUUGCAGAAUUCAGUGAAUCAUCGAAUCUUUGAACGCACAUUGCGCCCACUGGUAUUCCGGAGGGCAUGCCUGUUCGAGCGUCAUUAUAACCACUCAAGCUCUCGCUUGGUAUUGGGGCUCGCGGUUCCGCGGCCCCUAAAAUCAGUGGCGGUGCCUGUCGGCUCUACGCGUAGUAAUACUCCUCGCGAUUGAGUCCGGUAGGUCUACUUGCCAGCAACCCCCAAUUUUUACAGGUUGACCUCGGAUCAGGUAGGGAUACCCGCUGAACUUAAGCAUAUCAAUAGCGGAGGA